Molecule: long non-coding RNA, 319 nt
Filed under: Apteryx owenii (little spotted kiwi)
Lineage: Eukaryota; Metazoa; Chordata; Aves; Apterygiformes; Apterygidae
Description: lncRNA (ENSAOWG00000006156.1)
Source: RNAcentral
CAUGCUGUUGAGUCAUACAUAAACAAGUUAACGGCCUAAGGGUUAAACACUCAAAGUAUUGGAAGCCUUUGGUGAGAGAUUUUUGGAGAAGCAACUCUAUACUGGCCAACUCGAGGAAGCAGCUUUGAAGUGAUUCCCAAAUGAUAGCUUUUGGAUCACUAGCUGUGGUUCAGAGGGCCUUCCAACCCUUUCUGUAAUAUUAUUUUAGGAGCCAGAUUGGUUUUGUAGCUAGAUGUGAAAACUAAGAUUCUGGUCUCAAGUCUCUCCCACUUCCUUCCUGGAUUAACUUCAGCAGUCCCAAUUUUUCUUGAGCAAUCAC